This 18-nucleotide ribosomal RNA is filed under the name Ochlerotatus diantaeus. RNAcentral's name for it is "partial 28S ribosomal RNA". The record is from RNAcentral. Lineage: Eukaryota; Metazoa; Arthropoda; Insecta; Diptera; Culicidae.
CUCACAUAAUGUGUGACU